RNAcentral lists this ribosomal RNA (227 nucleotides) under uncultured bacterium. RNAcentral's name for it is "partial 16S ribosomal RNA". It matches the Rfam family "Bacterial small subunit ribosomal RNA", at positions 113 to 334 of the family's 1533-position model. The record is from RNAcentral.
CAACGUGGGUAACCUGCCCCGAUGACUGGGACAACCCGAGGAAACUCGGGCUAAUACCGGAUGUGCUCCCAUCACACCAGUGAUGUGAGUAAAGAUAGCUUCGGCCUUCGCAUCGGGAUGGGCCCGCGGCCCAUUAGCUUGUUGGUGGGGUAACGGCCUACCAAGGCGACGAUGGGUAGCUGGUCUGAGAGGACGAUCAGCCACACUGGGACUGAGACACGGCCCAG